UCGAGCGCCGCCGGGGUCAACGGGUCUACCCACGAGUCCACGACCCACCAGGCAGCAGGCACCAACUUCGCUUGACUCGCUUCGCAGUAAUACACUCCCCGGCGCAGAAGGCGGCUCCUUCACCCCAAACGGCGACAGGCAACCGGGACCGACGAGAUGUUCAAGCGCACCGGCGGCCUGGUGCUCAACCGGUGAAGGGUGAGCCCAUGUACCCAAGCAACACGCCUUAGGCGUUCUUCUCGUCGCCAGCUUUGCAGGUCACCUGAUAGGAAAGCUGAUUCGGGAUGCUGAGUUGCCUGUUUGUGCUUGCCUUUGUUGUGUGGCAUGCUCACCCUCAUCCGAGGAAGAAAGCUGCAACUCAUACUGGUAUGGCUCUCAUACUGGUAUGGUUCUCAUACUGGUAUGGCUGCUUCUAGCAUUCACUGGAUGUUGCAGUAAGAUUCUGGGUGUUAUCUUGUUCAUACUUUUGUUUACAUACACGAUUGGCUUGAUGCCUUAUCUCCAGUACAUCUUAUUAUUGUCGCGUCCACUCGUUUAUAAUAAUCAUCAUUUAAUCAAGCAUAUUUCCACCCUGAAUGCAGGAGACACUCAUUGUUAAGAGUGCUUUCUUGGAACAAUCCGUCUCCGCUUAUAUAUGCUGCAUAGUUAGGAUGAUUUUAUUAUGCACUUCCUCUUUUUUUUCUCUCUUCAAAUUAUAGUUCAUUUUGGUUUUCUACUAAGUCAAAGUUCUUAAACUUUAAAGUUUAUAGAAAAAAUAUAAACAUAUAUAAUACCAAAUAAAUGCACUAUCAAAACAUAUUUGAAGUUGUAGAUAUUUGUGUAUUUUCUUUAUUAACAUAUUCGAAGUUAGAGAAGUUUGACUCAUUAUGAAACUAAAAAUAGAGGCGAGGUAGUAUUGUUUAUGUACUCUACUAAUAUAGUCACAUACCAGAAUUUCAACCUGUUGGCCAACUGGGACAUAUCUGCCAUUUGUUCUUUAUUUCCUGUGAGAUAACUAAUGGCCACCAUAUUUGCAGUAUAUGCAUAUCAAAACGUUUCGUUUCACCUUUUGAAUGACACUAAUCCUUAGCCAUGUUUAUUGGGUAGCAUGUGAAUUCUGAUACCUUUGGUAUUUCAGAUUUCGUAAAUGGGUGGAACACAAGCAUGGUCAUAUAGCGAAGCGGAUAUCGCGUUAGAUUCCGAAUCUAAAGGUCGUGGGUUCAAAUCCCACUAUGAUCGAAUAUAUUUGUUUAAUUUUUCAUGCUGUUUCUGAUUUUUCCCUCGCAGAAAGUGACAUUUUGGCAUCGACUGCCACAAGGUGUCCAGUCUUGCACUCUGCUUGUGAAAAACAGUGGUCCCAAUUAGGCCUGAUACCUUCCCUGAGAAUUGUAACGAAGUGUGGAACUGUUGCAGUGCUGACGUUUUAUGGGCUUGCAGUUAUAUGUAAAUGCAGGCUUGCAUGAUGUAAGUUCCUAGUUUAUUAUAUUCCUUUUUGACAAUUGUAACAUGCUAUCUGCUUGUAAGUGGUGCUUAAUGGUGUUAUCUUUUAUGGAUUAUUAUGGAUUCAAUCAUAGAAACGCUACGUUCGUUGACAGU
Long non-coding RNA from Sorghum bicolor (sorghum), 1575 nucleotides. RefSeq lists it as uncharacterized. The transcript has 2 exons. The record is from RefSeq and is a predicted model, not a curated record. NCBI's taxonomy places the organism in Eukaryota, Viridiplantae, Streptophyta, Magnoliopsida, Poales, Poaceae.